CACAAGAUCUGAUUCAUGUACAACAUGAUACGUAGGCAACCUACUUUUGGGUUCGAUCUAAUUAUUUUGUUUCUUUAUUUUUUUCUCAAUUUUCCUCUUUUCAAGAAAAGCAAAAGUCAUAAAGAAUGAUAAAAAGAAAGGAAAUAGAGAAAGAAGAAAAAAAAAAGAAAGAAUACUGAGAGAAGAAAAAAGAAAAGAGAAA
RNAcentral lists this long non-coding RNA (202 nucleotides) under Capsicum annuum. Its description in RNAcentral is "long non-coding RNA (CANN_LNC018537)". Lineage: Eukaryota; Viridiplantae; Streptophyta; Magnoliopsida; Solanales; Solanaceae. The record is from RNAcentral.